RNAcentral lists this transfer RNA (68 nucleotides) under Dipodomys ordii (Ord's kangaroo rat). It matches the Rfam family "tRNA". Rfam says of the family: Transfer RNA (tRNA) molecules are approximately 80 nucleotides in length. Their secondary structure includes four short double-helical elements and three loops (D, anti-codon, and T loops). Further hydrogen bonds mediate the characteristic L-shaped molecular structure. tRNAs have two regions of fundamental functional importance: the anti-codon, which is responsible for specific mRNA codon recognition, and the 3' end, to which the tRNAs corresponding amino acid is attached (by aminoacyl-tRNA synthetases). tRNAs cope with the degeneracy of the genetic code in two manners: having more than one tRNA (with a specific anti-codon) for a particular amino acid; and 'wobble' base-pairing, i.e. permitting non-standard base-pairing at the 3rd anti-codon position. The record is from Rfam by way of RNAcentral. Lineage: Eukaryota; Metazoa; Chordata; Mammalia; Rodentia; Heteromyidae.
GGUAGCGGCUCAGUGGUAGAGUACUUGCCUUGCAUGCAUGAGGCCCUGGGUUCAAUUCCUCAGCACCA